AAGUCGUAACAAGGUUUCCGUAGGUGAACCUGCGGAAGGAUCAUUAACAAUAUCAGCACCUGCUUUUUGGGUUUCAUUUUUCGCAAGUGAAAAGUCUGGGAUGUUUAGGUUGAUGACUUCUUGUAACUGAAAUGUUUUGAAGCACCCUAACUUCCUAAUGUACCCCCAGAAAGCAGGAACGCUUUUAACCACUUGUGAAUAUGUAAAUUAUUUUUUUACCAACUGACUGUUAACGAAGUCUGAAUCAAAUAUUUGUCGGUGUUUAAAGACACCAAUACAAUCAUUGAAACAACUUUUGGCAACGGAUCUCUUGGCUCUC
This 319-nucleotide unclassified non-coding RNA is filed under the name fungal sp. RNAcentral's name for it is "partial internal transcribed spacer region". The stretch from base 1 to 46 matches the Rfam family "Eukaryotic small subunit ribosomal RNA", at positions 1786 to 1831 of the family's 1831-position model. Lineage: Eukaryota; Fungi. The record is from RNAcentral.